AUUCAUGGAAGAAAAUGUAUUGCUGAUUAUAUAUCGGAUACUAGAAGGUACGAUUUCGAUAAUGCUAAUAUUGCUAUCUCUGUUCCUUAUUGCGCGGAACGCUGCCCACUACGUAACUGGUGUACGCAUAUAUCCACUUAUAUACAUUAUGCUAAAAGUUACAGGUGGUCACUAUUAUUAUAACAAUAUAAGCACUGGGUAACCGUAAAUACAAAACGUACUAAAUAUAAAACGUAUUGUCGGAUGGAUGUUUUUGGUUGGAAAUGUAUUGAAAUCCGAUUUUCCGACAGACAAUAUAACACCCAAUAAUUGCCACGCCGCCGAAACAAAUUAAUACAAUUUAAAA
This is a non-coding RNA of Cinara cedri, 346 nucleotides long. The record is from the annotation of a GenBank genome assembly. NCBI's taxonomy places the organism in Eukaryota, Metazoa, Arthropoda, Insecta, Hemiptera, Aphididae.